RNAcentral lists this ribosomal RNA (515 nucleotides) under uncultured bacterium. RNAcentral describes it as "partial 16S ribosomal RNA". It matches the Rfam family "Bacterial small subunit ribosomal RNA", at positions 28 to 523 of the family's 1533-position model. The record is from RNAcentral.
GAUGAACGCUGGCGGCGUGCCUAAUACAUGCAAGUCGAGCGAAUGGAUUAAGAGCUUGCUCUUAUGAAGUUAGCGGCGGACGGGUGAGUAACACGUGGGUAACCUGCCCAUAAGACUGGGAUAACUCCGGGAAACCGGGGCUAAUACCGGAUAACAUUUUGAACCGCAUGGUUCGAAAUUGAAAGGCGGCUUCGGCUGUCACUUAUGGAUGGACCCGCGUCGCAUUAGCUAGUUGGUGAGGUAACGGCUCACCAAGGCAACGAUGCGUAGCCGAACUGAGAGGGGGCUCGGCCACACUGGGACUGAGACACGGCCCAGACUCCUACGGGAGGCAGCAGUAGGGAAUCUUCCGCAAUGGACGAAAGUCUGACGGAGCAACGCCGCGUGAGUGAUGAAGGCUUUCGGGUCGUAAAACUCUGUUGUUAGGGAAGAACAAGUGCUAGUCGAAUAAGCUGGCACCUUGACGGUACCUAACCAGAAAGCCACGGCUAACUACGUGCCAGCCGCCGCCGUAA